RNAcentral lists this ribosomal RNA (382 nucleotides) under uncultured Aquiflexum sp. Its description in RNAcentral is "bacterial SSU rRNA". It matches the Rfam family "Bacterial small subunit ribosomal RNA", at positions 1002 to 1382 of the family's 1533-position model. Lineage: Bacteria; Pseudomonadati; Bacteroidota; Cytophagia; Cytophagales; Cyclobacteriaceae. The record is from RNAcentral.
GGAAACAGGGAGUGCCCUUCGGGAACCCGGUGACAGGUGCUGCAUGGCUGUCGUCAGCUCGUGUCGUGAGAUGUUGGGUUAAGUCCCGCAACGAGCGCAAUCCCUGUUAUCAGUUGCCAUCGGGUAGAGCCGGGGACUCUGAUAAGACUGCCUGCGCAAGCAGAGAGGAAGGAGGGGACGACGUCAAGUCAUCAUGGCCCUUACGCCCAGGGCGACACACGUGCUACAAUGGCGCAUACAGCGGGUAGCUACCUGGCAACAGGAUGCCAACCUCUAAAAGUGCGUCUCAGUUCGGAUUGGGGUCUGCAACCCGACCCCAUGAAGCUGGAAUCGCUAGUAAUCGCGCAUCAGCCAUGGCGCGGUGAAUACGUUCCCGGACCUU